CUUGCUCAUUUCCCCUUCUAUUACUCAACAAACUCAGAGAUUUUCAACAAACUCAGAGAUUUGGGCAAGAAGACCCAGUGGAAAUAGAUCAUGGAUGAUUUGGAUGCUUUGUUGGCAGAACUGGAACAAACAACGGAGAGUCUGAGUGUGAAUGAUUCAGACCCAACUGUUUGCUUUCUUCUCAAGCGCGACAACAAACCAGCAAAAACAGAAAGCCAUUUAACCCAACAGCACAAAUCAACACCUCAAGAAGCCAAAAAGGUAGAACCAGCACACAAUGUUCAAACCCAUAAAGAAGAUGCAGAUAUUUAC
Molecule: long non-coding RNA, 312 nt
Filed under: Notechis scutatus (mainland tiger snake)
Lineage: Eukaryota; Metazoa; Chordata; Lepidosauria; Squamata; Elapidae
Description: lncRNA (ENSNSUG00000016967.1)
Source: RNAcentral